This 476-nucleotide ribosomal RNA is filed under the name uncultured organism. Its description in RNAcentral is "partial 16S ribosomal RNA". It matches the Rfam family "Bacterial small subunit ribosomal RNA", at positions 333 to 800 of the family's 1533-position model. The record is from RNAcentral.
ACACUCCUGCGGGAGGCAGCAGUGGGGAAUAUUGCACAAUGGGCGCAAGCCUGAUGCAGCCAUGCCGCGUGUAUGAAGAAGGCCUUCGGGUUGUAAAGUACUUUCAGCGGGGAGGAAGGCGAUAAGGUUAAUAACCUUGUUGAUUGACGUUACCCGCAGAAGAAGCACCGGCUAACUCCGUGCCAGCAGCCGCGGUAAUACGGAGGGUGCAAGCGUUAAUCGGAAUUACUGGGCGUAAAGCGCACGCAGGCGGUCUGUCAAGUCGGAUGUGAAAUCCCCGGGCUCAACCUGGGAACUGCAUUCGAAACUGGCAGGCUAGAGGCUUGUAGAGGGGGGUAGAAUUCCAGGUGUAGCGGUGAAAUGCGUAGAGAUCUGGAGGAAUACCGGUGGCGAAGGCGGCCCCCUGGACAAAGACUGACGCUCAGGUGCGAAAGCGUGGGGAGCAAACAGGAUUAGAUACCCGGGUAGUCCCAUGA